ACGCUGGCGGCGUGCCUAACACAUGCAAGUCGAACGAGGUAUUUUGAUUGAAGUUUUCGGAUGGAUUUCAAGGUACCGAGUGGCGGACGGGUGAGUAACGCGUGGGUAACCUGCCUCAUACAGGGGGAUAACGGUUAGAAAUGACUGCUAAUACCGCAUAAGCGCACAGUACCGCAUGGUACGGUGUGAAAAACUCCGGUGGUAUGAGAUGGACCCGCGUCUGAUUAGCUAGUUGGUGAGGUAACGGCCCACCAAGGCGACGAUCAGUAGCCGACCUGAGAGGGUGACCGGCCACAUUGGGACUGAGACACGGCCCAGACUCCUACGGGAGGCAGCAGUGGG
This 342-nucleotide ribosomal RNA is filed under the name uncultured bacterium. RNAcentral's name for it is "bacterial SSU rRNA". It matches the Rfam family "Bacterial small subunit ribosomal RNA", at positions 33 to 358 of the family's 1533-position model. The record is from RNAcentral.